AAUAAGAUUCUAAUUCUAAUAGAAUCCUAAAUAACUCCAAUUAAACCUUAAAAAUAUUCAUCAAGCUUUAAUCAAUCCAAUGAACUUCAUAGAUAUUUCAAAAGAAGCAUGAAGAAAUCCUAAAGAAAUUCAAAAGAAGUAUUAAACUAAAAUCUAAAAUAUAUCUUAAAUAAAUUCCAACCAAAUCUUACUUAAAUUCUAGAUAUAAUCCUAAUAGUCCUUACUUAAAUCCUAAAUAAAAUCUUAACUAAAUCCUAAACAAAUCCUAAAUCCUAACCAAUUCCUAAAUCCUAAAUCAACCCUUAUCAAAUUAACCUACCUUUGGAGCAAUUAAGAACCUCAAUAUCUAUCAAUUAUAUUCUUGAUAUUACUUAAGAAUUUAUACACCUUUCAAAAAUUAAGUUGGCAAAAAGCACAUAAAAUUUGAAGAAGAUUAAACUUAUUGAAUAGAAGAUCAACUCAAAAUUCUGCUCAGGUGUUAGCUAGCCUUUUACUCCAAUCUGAAUGUUGAAAUUCCAAUGCCAAUAUCUCCUUCUUGAACUAUUGAAUUAAUUCCA
RNAcentral lists this long non-coding RNA (557 nucleotides) under Physcomitrium patens. RNAcentral describes it as "long non-coding RNA (PPAT_LNC006378)". Lineage: Eukaryota; Viridiplantae; Streptophyta; Bryopsida; Funariales; Funariaceae. The record is from RNAcentral.